CUGGCUCCAAGGAGAUUUCACAGCAAUGCCUCCAGACUUCAUAACACGGACAUCUGGGAUAUUUAUCUGCUCCCUUAAUGGCCCAGGCCCCUCUCUGUAACAGAAGAAGACUAUGGGAUGGCAUUUUGGAGAAUGGUCUCUAGGAUACAUGGAUCCUGGAUAUUGCAACUUAACUAUAGAUUUAUGGCCCCCAGCUUACCAAGAGUUUGUACCAUUGCCUAAGCCUACAGCACUGUGGGGAAACUGGAAAACCAUUGACUCAAUCACAGACAAAUAGGCCAACUCCAUUCUGGCCUUACAGACCUACAGAUAUCACCAGAUUCCUUCUACCGCCUCCAACCCCUAAUCGAUGUCUCCAUUCAGCAGGAAGAAGCUACAGAAGAAGGGACCUUUGUCCCUCUUUCCUGUUAAAAUCAGGGAGGAAUCUUAGGUGGGAACUAAAGGGAAGGUCUAAAAAAUAAGUCGCCAUGAUUCAUUGACCCACCCAGACCCAGACUUGCAGUCUCCAUGUUAUUGCACCUCUGCAGGUGAAAACCACCAAGCCUAUGAAGUGGUUGAUUUUCCAAGGACAAAGACAGCCCCAAGG
Molecule: long non-coding RNA, 586 nt
Filed under: Sus scrofa (pig)
Lineage: Eukaryota; Metazoa; Chordata; Mammalia; Artiodactyla; Suidae
Description: lncRNA (ENSSSCG00050055310.1)
Source: RNAcentral